Nyctereutes procyonoides (raccoon dog) is the source of this 7861-nucleotide long non-coding RNA. RefSeq lists it as uncharacterized. Lineage: Eukaryota; Metazoa; Chordata; Mammalia; Carnivora; Canidae. The record is from RefSeq and is a predicted model, not a curated record. The transcript has 3 exons.
UUAAUUUAUUAAAAAAAAAGAAUAAAUACACAGUACAAAAGGAAAAAAAAUCCUAAUCUGGUCUUGUCUACCCUGCUCAAAACUCUGCAGGGGCUUCCUGCUGUUCUUAGGAUAACGUCCAGCCUCUCGGACUGAGCACAGUCCCCUUCCUUACUCCCUACCCUCCAACGCCUCAUCCUCAGCGGACCGCCUCCUGCUCCACCACCACUCCACAUUCCAGCCCCCGUCAACCUCUUCCUGUUCAGUAGAUGGCCGGCCAGUGGACUCUCUUCUCCCUGCCUCUCAUUUCCCCAGCCCCACACAUGCCAUCCCCUGUAGAUCGAACAUUCACUUCAUUUGCCUGAUUCCUACCUAUGUUCAGCUGUCAGGUUCAGUGGAGAGCAAUUUCCAUUUAACCUGAGGAGUACCUGGAUGAAAAGGCACUGUUCACAGAACUUUUUACUGAAUAGAAGUGAUGGAGACUUCAUUAUAAAUUGCUCAAAUGGGCAGAUAUUUUACUCUGGUUCCCAGUGAGCUAAUUGGAAAUGCAAUCGGACAGCCCAGUUUCUCUGGAAAAGAAUAGGAUUGCAUAGAAUAGGAUUACAUACGGCAAAGAUCAUACCUCAAUUUAUGUGGCGCCUGUGAUGCAUUUGAACUCGGAGUUUGGAAUGUGGCACACACUUUCCUGAUGCCUAGGGGUCCUACCUUCCAGUGAGGAGGGAUAAACAGAAACAUGGAAAGAUUAUGUCACUUUAUGGCACCUGUGACCCAGGAAAUUAAGCAGCCCUUCAGCUGCCUCCCUUGGACUUUGUCUUGAUGAGCUCAUUUUUCCACUGUGAAGUGCCAUCUGAGUUUUCUGUUAGGACAAGAGGAAGGGUUGUAACUGGUCUUUCCUUUACAGCGGGUCGGAUUUAUUAGUCGCUGUGGCCAUCAAGGAGGCUAGCUGCCUGCACCUAUGGGAACUCUCCAAGGGAGUCUGACAGUGCCUUCAUAUCGCUCCCUAGGGGCCCCUACCAGGUGUCAGCAACCCCUGGAGAAAACUAUGUCGGUUCCUACAGCGUCCAGUGGAGAGUGUGAACCCACUGCUGGUUCAACAUGCCAUAGGCUCAACUGUGAGGAUUAACCUCACUCAGUACAGCCCCUCUGAACACAGCACACCUCGGUAUGAGAUGAAGUGUGUGCCUUGGACGAAAGAAAAGAUGGAACCACUCAUCCAACCAGCACUACCCCAACCCCCAAGCCCGGCCAGAGGGUGGGACUAGACUCCUAGGCGCCUGGCAUACUUCCCUCUGUCGCUGGCGUGUCCCUAACACAGGGCACGGUGUGAUGGGCUCUCCCUGCAGCCUAGCUUGAGGAACUAAGGUGUGCGGGGCAUAUACAGUUUGAUUCCCCAAAGACUCAGGUCUUUGGUAAGUGCCAAAGCCCACCUUCUGUAGACAGGAAAACAAACUGAAAGGCGUUAGGUUGCUGAAGCAGGAGAGGGUGGAUCUGGGAAGCACACCUCCUUUUUGCCUGACUCCAAAGCCAGUCUUUGCACUCACAGUGACACAGCGGGGUUGUGUUUCAGGUGCUGAAAUGCAGAUACUGUUCCAUGAUUCCAUAGUCAUCAUGGUCCCAACACCAUGUCCACCUUGAAAUGCAGGCACCCAGCAGGGUAUAAAGCAACCCCCAAAGGUUCUAAGACUCUGCCUCUGCCCUGUGAGGAGCUGCCCUGAAGCAGCAGAUCUGGAGUCCCUUAGCAUGGAAGGCUUGCCUCAGAGCCGACAGCCAAGCAGGACCUCAGCUUCCAGGGUUCCCGCAGAGAGAUCCUUUGUCUUAAUAGAGAGACUUUUGGAGUCAACCCCACCCCACAAAUUAGGUCUCCACCAGUCUCGUUCUGUUUAUCAGAUAUGAACUGAGAGACAAUCAGAGGCAGAGGAAGUACUUUCAGUGGCCGCAUCACGGUUGUGGAGCUGGCCGAACUGCAAUGGUGGAUUGGAGCUCAGUAGACCAAGGAUUGAAAUCUGGCUCUACCUGUGGGGAAUCUCUCGGUUCUUGAGCUUGCGUGUCUGUAAAAUGUGGGUGAUCGGGGGAUCCCUGGGUGGUGCAGCGGUUUGGCGCCUGCCUUUGGCCCAGGGCGCGAUCCUGGAGACCCGGGAUCGAAUCCCACGUCAGACUCCUGGUGCAUGGAGCCUGCUUCUCCCUCUGCCUGUGUCUCUGCCUCUCUCUCUCUAUCUGUGUGACUGUCAUAAAUAAAUAAAGAUUAAAAAAAAAUAAAAGGCUGUUGAUAAAAAAAAAAAAUGUGGGUGAUCGGAGUGCCUACCGCCUCAGCAUCCUCACCCCUGAGAAGUGGUCCUGACCAAACACACGCACGUACAGGUAGGUAGGGGUAAGAUGCCCUCCUCUGUGUACCUGAGGUACCAUGACUUAAAUUCCGCCAUUCUCUCUUCUCACAAGACAUGUGGUGGCUAUCUGCUGGCAGGCUAUAGCUAACUCAUCCCUGCGUCCCCAAUCCGUGUUCAGUAAACAGACACAUGGUUUGAGGUGGUGCUUAGAACAUGUUUCUUCAAUGAGUGAAGGACCUUGACCCAAGGUGACAUUGUAACUUCAUGAUAAAGGGUAGUUAUUGUGCCAGUUAUUUCUCUCUUACAAAUGAUGUGGAGAGUGGAGCACCUGGGUGGCUCAGUGGUUGAGCAUCUGCCUUUGCAUCAGGUCAUGAUCCCAGGGUCCUGGGAUCGAGUCCUGCAUCGGGCUCCCUGUGGGAAGCCUACUUCUCCCUCUGCCUAUGCCUCUGCCUCUCUCUGUGUGUCUCUCAUGAAUAAAUACGUAAAACCUUUAAAAAAAAAUGACGCGGGGGAAUGGUGUAAACAAGACAUCUCUGUAUUCUGAUUCUUUUUGGGAGGUGGAGGAAGAUUGCAUCUUUUGUAGCAACUUAAAUUGCAGAUGCUUACAAAAAGGAGGUUACACGGGUAUUUUAAUUGUGUGGGUCACUCUGUUGCCCCAUUCAUUAGUCACAGUUGUGAUCUCACGGUGGAACGUGGGUCAAGAUCCUUGGAACAUCAGUCAGCUCAGAGAAUGUUUUCCAAGUACCAAAAGUUACCAGUGCACAUAGUAGGUGCGCACAAAGACCUGUCCAAGAGGUGGACUGUUGAGUGAAUCCAGACUGCUAAUUAAGUGUGUGAUGCUGUGGCUAGAGCACAGCUGCCCUUGGAGACAGGGAUGUGGGCACCAGGUGAAGGGGGUGUCAGUGCAGAUGAAUGCUGUCAGCCUCGGAAGGAGGCGCUCCUCCUCACUGUCCUUCCAGCCCUUUGCCCAAACCUGCCUCUCUCUGAAUGGUCUUCUCCGUGUCCCUCCUCUGCCUGACUUACAGCCUGAUACAGGUUGUCACUCAGCAUCUGUGAUCCGUGGGUGUCCUUUGUGGUCCAGCUGGCUGAGUAGAAGCCUGUCACCCUCUGCUCUCCCCACUUCCUGUGAGGCUCUCACUCUCUGCCCCUGCCCCCAGUGGCCCAGCCUCCUGGCAGCCUCUGCUUCAUACACUUCUUCCCAGCUGUUCCCUCUUGUCUGGAAAGUCCUGACCCCAGAUGUCUGCUUGUCAGGCUUCUCUCCCCGUUCACAUCUUUGUUGAAAGGUCGCCUCCUCGUGAAGCCUGAGCUCACUCCCUAGGGGUAACUUUGUAGGUUAGACUGUGGGGCUCACAGAUAAUCCAGAGAGGUAUUGCCACUACAUACAUCUGGAGUCAGGAUGCACCUGGGCUGGGGUUCUUCUCUUGCGGGAGGUGAGGCCUUGUGCUGUCACUUAACCCCACCAUGCCAGCAUUUUCUUCUUUGGGACAAUGGAGAAAAUAGAUUCUGCAGGGUUGAUACACCAAAUGAGAUGUUUAGGAAGGACCUCACAUUCUCCUUUAUUCCAUUUGGUAGGUAUUUGUGAAUGCCCACUGGGGUUAAGGCUCUGAUGGGUGAACAAGACAAAAUCUCUGACUGUGUCAGCUCAUGGACUAGUGAGUGAUACAAAUAAUCCGCCUCUGAUGUCUGGGUGGGGCUGAGGCCAGGAUAGGGGAAAUGCAGGGUGUUGUGGAAGUUCAGGGGAAGGCCUGCUGUCCAGGAUGUUAGGAAAGUGGGUGAAGAAGGCUUUCUGGUAGAAACGCUGCAUGAGUCCCCAGAACGAAUAUGAGGCGAAGGUGUUCCUCACAGCCAUUACUUUCCCAAUCCAUUCAUGCAGGACAGAUGUGGCGUCACCUCCCACUCCCUCCUGACUGAGGGAUGGGGGUGUGGCCCACGCUGGCCAGUGGGAAAGGAAGAGAAUGUUUGCUGGAAGACUUCUGGGAGACUUCCUUGUUCAUAGGAGAGGUGCAGGAUUAGAGAGCCUCUUUCUGCACUUGAACAUUGCCCUAUCUGGAUGUUGGUCCUGGAACAUCUAUUUCAGAAAAGGCCAGAUCAGAGCUGGAAAGAGCCUGUGUCCUUGCUGGCAUCACUGGAUCCCAGAGUGUGACCCGCGUGCGCCCAGCCUGCCUUCUGAUUUCAUUUUGUGUGACUGUGAAUUGCCUUUGUGCCUAAGCCCGCUUGAGGAGGGGGUUCCUCUUUACUCACAGCACAAAGCAGACAUCCUGAUAUGCCUCUCUCCUUCAGCCUCAAAGUCCUCCUGGUAGAAGGACAGUAACUCUGCCUACUCGACGUUUGUUGGGAGACCUGCAGGAGACGAUAGAUGGGAAACACCUAGCUGAUAUUACCUGGCACAUGGAAGGCAUGGAGUAAGAGGCAGCGCUGUCUGUCCUGCUUCUUUAAUCCACAGCACCCGGCCUGCAGAUGAUUUUAUUUAUUUAUUCAUUAGAGACACAGAGAGGCAGAGACAUAAGAAGGAGAAGCAGGAUCCCUGUGGGAAGCCCGAUGCAAGACUCGAUUCCAGGACCCUGAGAUCACAACCUGAGCCAAAGGCAGAUGCUCAACCACUGAGCCACCCAGGUGCCCCUUAUUCUUCUUUUUACUCUUUCAUCUUAAACUGGAGAUGGCAUUGAUUAACCAGUUAUAUUCUAAAUCUGGCGAUUAUGUCGCUUGGGUUUCAGUUAUUGAGCCACCCUUAUUUCCUGUGCUAACCCACUUGAUCAUGGUGUAUUUUCUCUGAAUAUUGCUGGAUUCCAUUGCUGGUAUUUUGUGGAGGAAUUUUGUACUUGGGAUGAGAAAGAUUAUUGGUCAGUAGUUUUCCUGGUGUCAGUGAAAUGCUAGCCUCAUAAAUCACUUGCAAGUGUUUCCUCUGCUUCUGUUUUCUGGAGGAAAUUGUGUAGAAUUUGUGCAUGCAUGCAUUUUUCCUGUCGAUAAUUGGUGGAAUUCACCAUUGAUACCAUCUGGGAUUUUUGUCAAAGUUUUUAACAACUGAUUCAAUUUCUGUGAACGGUAGUGAACUCUGCAUGUUACUUCACCUUGGGUGAGAUUUGGCAGUUUAUAGGUUUUGGAUAAUCAAUCCAUUUCCAAGUUGUUGCAUUUAUAUAUGUGGAAUUGAAUGUAAUAUUGCUUUAUCAUUUCUUUCAUAUUUGCUGGGUCUCUAGUGAAAUCUCUUCUUUCAUUCCUGCUAUUGGAAACUUAUUUCUGGGCGGCCCGGGUGGCUCAGCGGUUUAGCGCCUGCCUUCAUCCCAGGGCAUGACCCUGGAGACCCCGGAUCAAGUCCCACAUUGGGCUCCCUGCAUGGAGCCUGCUUCUCCCUCUGCCUCUCUCUCUGUCUCCUCUCUGUGUAUUCUCAUGAAUAAAUAAUAAUUUUUUUUAAAAAAAGGAAACUUAUUUCUUCUCUCCUUCUUUCCCUCUCUUUUUCUCCAGUUCUCUUGAGAUAUAACUGACACGCAGCAGCUCAUAAGGGAUACAGCAUAAUACUUUUACUUCCAUGUAUCAUGAAAGGAUUACCAGAAUAAGCUUACUUGGCAUCCAGCAUCUCAGAUAGAUACAAAAAGAAAACCGUGUUUUCCUUGUGAAGGGAGCUCUUAGAAUUUACCCUCUUAACAACUUUCAUUUAUAUCACACAGUAGUAUUAACUAGAGUCAUCAUGUUGCACAAUAUAUCCCCAGCACUUAUUUAUCUUAUAACUGGAUGUUUGUUCCAUUUCACCAACAUCUUCCAGUUUUUUCUCCCUCCCCAAAUCUCCACCUCUGAUAACCACAAAUCUUAUGUCUUUUUCUAUAUAUUUAGGAGGCUUUUUCCAAUUCCAUGUAUGAGUGCGAUCAUACCAUGUGCGUCUUUCGAUGGCUUAUUUCACUUAGCAUAAUGCCCUCAAGAUCCAUCUAUGUUGUCACAAAUGGCAGGGUUUUCUCCUUUUUUAUGGCUGAAUAAUAUUCGGGUGUGUGUGUGUGUGUGUGUGUGUGUGUGUGUUCUUGAUCCAUUUAUCCAUAAAAGAUACUUAGGGGGCAGCCCAGGUGGCCCAACAGUGUGGCGUCACCUUCGGCCCAGGAUGUGAUCCUGAAGACCCGGGAUCGAGUCCCACGUCAGGCUUCCUGCAUGGAGCCUGCUUCUCCCUCUGCCUGUGUCUCUGCCUCUGUGUGUGUGUGUGUGUGUGUGUGUGUGUGUGUGUGUGUGUGUUUCCCAUGAAUAAAUAAAUAAAAUCUUAAAAAAAAGACACUUAGGGUUGUAUCCAUAUCUUGGCUAUUGUAAAUAAUGCUGCUAUGGACAUGGGGUGCAGAUAUGUCUUUGACAUAGUGUUUUUAUCUCUUUCAGAUAUAUUCUCAGAAGUGGAAUGUCUGCAUCAUAUGGUAGUUCUAUUUUUAAGUUUUUAAGGAGUCUCCAUACAUUUUUUUAAAAUAUUGUAUUCAUUUAUUUGAGAGAGAGCGAGCACGAGCAAGGGGAGGGACAGAGGGAGAGGGAGAAGCAGACUCCCCACUGAGCAGAGAGCCUGACACGGGGCUCCAUCCCGGGACCCCAGGAUCAUGACCUGAGCCAAAGGCAGAUGCAUAACCAACUGAGCCACCCAGGUGCCCCUCCAUACUGUUUUCAAUAGUGCUGUGCCAAUAUACAUUUGUGCCAAAGUGUACAGGAUUUCUUUUUUUUUUUUCCUUAAGAUUUUAUUUAUUUAUUUGAGAGAGAAGCACUGAGCUCCCCACUGAGCAGGGAGCCUGGGAUCAUGACCUGAGCCAAAGGCAGACACUUAACUGACUGAGCCACCCAGGUGCCCCUCUUUCUUUUUUAAAGAUUUAAUUAUUUGAGAGGGAGAGAGUGCGCUGGGUGGGCAGAGAGGGAAACUUAAGCAGGCUCUGUGCUGAGCGUGGAGCCCAACUCAGGUCUCCAUCUCAGGACCCUGAGAUUACAACCCGAGCUGAAACCAAGAGUUUGGAUGCUCAACCAAAUGCACCACACAGGUGCCCCAUGAUUUCUUUAUUCUCCACAUCCAAGCCAGCAUUUUUAUCUCUUGUUUUUUCAAUACUAGGCAUUCUAACAGGUGUGAGGUGAUACCUCAUUGUGGUUUGGGUUUGCAUUUCUGCCACAGAUCCAGGAUAGUCGGAGGCUACGAUAUGAAGAAAGACUCGGGAGUCCUGCUGAAUUUUAAUCUGGGGGACAGGGGGACCAAGAGUCAGACUUGGACUCGGACUCAAAGCAGACUCGGACUCCGACCCCGAGGCUUUGUCUCCUCCAGUUUUUAUUAAGAGAGUUAGCAGAUUGGCUAUAGGAAUUAUUAACUUUGAGAAGCAGAGAAAAACAUGUUUACUUCAAAGGGUAAAAGAAUAAGCGGUUGACUCAGAGGAGGGGGUGGGGAGCAGAGGAGCUGUAUCUGGAGAACAAGGUGGUCAAGAGUCAGUGUGCUGACUCAGGAUCUCUCAUGUCCCCAGUGUGCUGAGGACUACGAGAUUCAGUUCUCAGAUAGGCUCCGCAGGUGGUUCCCCACACAUUUCUCUGAUAAUUAUUGGUUUGGAGCACUUUUCAUCUCUCUAUUG